AUUGCUUCUCUAAUUACAGGUCUUCUCCAUGUUUGUCUUCUUGCUCAAAAGUGUAGUUGCAGGUGCAAAUCUGCUUUUCUUUUGGAUUCUCCUCAUCAUUGUCAGUUUCAACAGACAGUGAUUUCCCCCACAUCUUCUUCCCUUUUUUCUUCACAUUUUUCUCCUUUGUAUUAUUUUGGCUAAUUUUGAAGUUCAAUGGUUGUUGCAGAUUCUCUUUUCCUGUUCCUUCUCUGAUUUUUCCAGAUCCCUUUUCCCU
Molecule: long non-coding RNA, 256 nt
Filed under: Nicotiana benthamiana
Lineage: Eukaryota; Viridiplantae; Streptophyta; Magnoliopsida; Solanales; Solanaceae
Description: long non-coding RNA (NBEN_LNC039169)
Source: RNAcentral